CCUACGGGUGGCAGCAGUGGGGAAUAUUGCACAAUGGGCGAAAGCCUGAUGCAGCAACGCCGCGUGAGCGAUGAAGGCCUUCGGGAUGUAAAGCUCUGUCCUCCAGGAAGAUAAUGACGGUACUUGAGGAGGAAGCCCCGGCUAACUACGUGCCAGCAGCCGCGGUAAUACGUAGGGGGCAGGCGUUAUCCGGAAUUACUGGGGGUUAAGGGGUCGUAGGUGGUAUCUUAAGUCAGAGGUGAAAGUCUACGGCUCAACCGUGGUACGCUUUUGAAACUGGAAAACUUGAGUGCAGGAGAGGAAAGUGGAAUUCCUAGUGUAGCGGUGAAAUGCGUAGAUAUUAGGAGGAACACCAGUUGCGAAGGCGGCUCUCUGGACUGUAACUGACGCUGAGGCACGAAAGCGUGGGGAGCAAACAGGAUUAGAUACCCGGGUAGUC
This 439-nucleotide ribosomal RNA is filed under the name uncultured bacterium. RNAcentral's name for it is "partial 16S ribosomal RNA". It matches the Rfam family "Bacterial small subunit ribosomal RNA", at positions 338 to 795 of the family's 1533-position model. The record is from RNAcentral.